UACGGGGGGGGCAAGCGUUGUUCGGAAUUACUGGGCGUAAAGGGCUCGUAGGCGGCCAACUAAGUCAGACGUGAAAUCCCUCGGCUUAACCGGGGAACUGCGUCUGAUACUGGAUGGCUUGAGUUUGGGAGAGGGAUGCGGAAUUCCAGGUGUAGCGGUGAAAUGCGUAGAUAUCUGGAGGAACACCAGAGGCGAAGGCGGCGCACUUGACAGCAACUGACACUCAACUGCGAAAGCGUGGGGAGCAAACAGG
This 253-nucleotide ribosomal RNA is filed under the name uncultured bacterium. RNAcentral's name for it is "partial 16S ribosomal RNA". It matches the Rfam family "Bacterial small subunit ribosomal RNA", at positions 524 to 776 of the family's 1533-position model. The record is from RNAcentral.